This is a long non-coding RNA of Prunus persica (peach), 718 nucleotides long. RefSeq lists it as uncharacterized. The record is from RefSeq and is a predicted model, not a curated record. The transcript has 2 exons. Lineage: Eukaryota; Viridiplantae; Streptophyta; Magnoliopsida; Rosales; Rosaceae.
CCGUGAUGAUUCAGGACAUUAAUUAGCCUUACUUUUCCUUCACUAAACCCUCUUUCUUUCACACAACCGCUUUUCAAUUUUGCCCUUUUGAUUAUUCUUUCACACCACACCACCACUCUCUAGUUUGUUCUUAUCUUCACCACCAAGGCAUCUCACAUUCCUCUUUGCUUUAAUCUCUCUCUCUCUCUCUCUCAAACUCAAACUCAAACUCAAAGCCAUCUACAAUACUUGCGAACUUAUCAUCACCAAAAGCCCCAAUUGUCUCUUCUGUAAACCCAAAAGGCUACAAUGGCUAAGUAUGUGUCAAUGCCUUUUGCUGCUGCUGCUGCUGCUGCUGCUGGGAUAUAUUUCCUUGACAAAAACCACAACCAACCAAAGGAACUCGGAGGUGGGAUUGGAGAAACCAUCCAACAUGUCGUACCAAAACCGAAGGUGGAGCAAAACAACACCACUCAGAUGCUAGAGUUGGCACCCCAAUUUGACGGGUUGGACUCCUUUGAAACCUUGGUGGCUCGUUAGCUCCCGUUACCCCUGCAGCUAAGCAGAGUAUGCUGGUGCUUCCUUCCAAGGAGUAUUAUUAAGUGUUCUUUAGCAGUAUAGGAAGAUAUGUCCUUACAUCUUCCACCUGUACAUAUUUCAUGAAAUAUGAUCAUCUCCUCCUCCAAUAUAGUUAGUUUUCCUGCAUCAUUACUAAGAGCAGGCAACCUAAUUUUCCUUC